Molecule: ribosomal RNA, 430 nt
Filed under: bacterium
Lineage: Bacteria
Description: partial 16S ribosomal RNA
Rfam family: Bacterial small subunit ribosomal RNA
Source: RNAcentral
UGGGGAAUAUUGGACAAUGGGGGGAACCCUGAUCCAGCCAUGCCGCGUGUGUGAAGAAGGCCUUUUGGUUGUAAAGCACUUUAAGCGAGGAGGAGGCUACCGAGAUUAAUACUCUUGGAUAGUGGACGUUACUCGCAGAAUAAGCACCGGCUAACUCUGUGCCAGCAGCCGCGGUAAUACAGAGGGUGCAAGCGUAAAUCGGAUUUACUGGGCGUAAAGCGCGCGUAGGUGGCCAAUUAAGUCAAAUGUGAAAUCCCCGAGCUUAACUUGGGAAUUGCAUUCGAUACUGGUUGGCUAGAGUAUGGGAGAGGAUGGUAGAAUUCCAGGUGUAGCGGUGAAAUGCGUAGAGAUCUGGAGGAAUACCGAUGGCGAAGGCAGCCAUCUGGCCUAAUACUGACACUGAGGUGCGAAAGCAUGGGGAGCAAACAGG